Molecule: RNA transcript, 2328 nt
Organism: Homo sapiens (human)
Lineage: Eukaryota; Metazoa; Chordata; Mammalia; Primates; Hominidae
Gene: NDUFAF4P1
Gene name: NADH:ubiquinone oxidoreductase complex assembly factor 4 pseudogene 1
Exons: 1
Source: RefSeq, marked validated
UGAACCUGAGGGCAUCAUGUUGUAAGGAGAUGGGGGCUGCGGUGACUCGCGGGAUCAGGAAUUUCAAGAGAACCGAGCGGAAAGGGAAAUCCGCAACAUGAAGCCCUCUCUCGCUCCCAGGCACCCCUCUACCAGCAGCCUCCUGCCAGAGCAGAUUAGUCUCUAUCCAGAAAUUAAGGGAGAGAUUGCUCGUAAAGAUGACAAGCUGCUGUCAUUUCUAAAAUAUGUGUGUGUUGAUUCCAAAGAUCCUGUGUCUUCCGUGCAGCUGAAAGCUGCUGAAACACGUCAGGAGCCAAAGAAAUUCAGAUUGCCGAAAGGCCAUCACUUUGAUAUGAUAAAUAUUAAGAGCAUUCCCAAAGGCAAAAUUUCCACUGUAGAAGCAUUGACACUUUUCAAUAAUCAUAAACUUUAUCCAGAAACAUGAACUGCUGAGAAAAUAGCGCAAGAAUAUCAUUUAGAACAGAAAGAUGUGAAUUCCCUUCUUAAAUAUUUUGUUACUUUUGAAGUCAAAAUCUUCCCUCCUGAAGACAAGAAAGCAAUACAAUCAAAAUGAAGAAAAUCACAAAAAUUUCCUAUGUGUACUCCUCAUCCCUCAUCCUGUAUAUUUUCUUAUUUUUGCAUAUUAAAUUAUGUUAAUUACCAAGUGUUUAAUGCUCUCAUUGUGAGAGCAUCCUCUUAAUAUUUAUUGAGCUCCCUGAAUUUUCAAGAUUGCCAUAGACUGUAUUUUGUUUUCUUUUAAUUUGGUUUAGGCAUAUUUCAUAUGUACAUGUUAGCAUGACUAAUCAGCACAUCUGUACCUUUAUUAUAAGUAAAAGAGUUAAUUUGUUAUUUUAGACACAUCAUACCAACUUUUAAAUUGGUCAUAUGACCCCUUGGGAAGUGUCCUGAAUCCCUCAUUUAAGUUUUCCUAUCCAAUUUAGGUGUUUAGUUCAUUCUUCAUAUGUGAUAGUGAAAGUAAAAGCUUUCCUGACUCUUAAGACUGACAUUUUCUUGCUAGGGAAAGAGACUCGAUAGUAAGGUAGACUAACAGUAUUUCCCAAAUAAAGGCACAUAGGAGAAAAUAAAGAAUCAAUAAAAUCUAAUUAAAAUUACUACCCCAGGGAAUAAGAAGUAUUGAGGAUUUAUUUUAUUUUGAAUUGGUUUUAAGUAUGGAAUAAUUGUCUUUACAGUUAUAAAAAGUAAUUAGUGGUGUUUACGAAAUGUUGGGAAUUUCUGCUUUGACAAAUAGUUAAGUCCCAUGGCCUUCAGAGAGAGAGGCAGUAGUAGAAACUUUCGAAAAAGUAACAUUUCUCUGGAUUUAACAUGGAACUAGAAAAAUUUAAAGAAUAAUUAAAAAACCAUGGUAAAUGAAAUUUGGUGAUUAUAUAUAGUUUUGGAUGUUAAUGCUAGUUGAGAGAAGAGAGAAAAAAUAGCAAGUAGAAGCAGAGAACAGGAUCAUUGGAAGGGACCUGAGAAAUUGCUGCUUUAUCCAUUUUAGCAAACUUAUUAGCACGGCAUGUACCAGUACUAGGAUCUUGAGUAAGAGUGUGUGAGUUUAGCUCUGCCUAAUAUAUUACUACUUGUGGGAUCUUUGGGAGACUAUGUCCUCUUUGAGAUUGAAUUUCUUCUAUAAAAUGAGCAUAAUGCUACCUUACUUAAAUUUAAGGGUUAUCAUGAAGAUAAGUGAAAUAGUAAAGGACUACAAAAGACCAAGGGAAUAAUGAAUUUUUUUUUUGUAGUGGAGAAACGCCUGGGGAGAAUAUAUGACCUAAGGUUUCUGUAGUUUAUGACCUAACCAGGCCCAGAACUUAGUUUUUCAAAUCCUAGUAGUGUGUUUUUUCUGAUGUGCCAAAAAGCAGCACACCUCAGAGAAGGGAAUAAGUGUGAAUUGUGGGUAUAUUGGGGUUAUCAGUGUGCUUCUGAGGGAAGAUAGGCAUCACUACUUCCCAGAGAUGCCCCUGGAAAUGAUACAGAAGAUGCUAAAGAAUUCAACAAGAUGACGGAAUGAGGCAUUUGUAGUAAUGCUGAGAACAGAAAAAUGAACUAAGUGGAAAAUUUGUAAGCAUGUCUUUGAAUGUAGAUUGGUUAGGUGAACAAACUACCUAGUUUAUUUUUAGUUCAGUACAAUAAUUGUUUUAAGAAAACAUGAAAUAACUACUCAAUAUAAAAUGCAUUUUAAAACUCCUGUAAAUCAGUCAAAACUUUAUUCCAUUUGUCAUAAUGGUAACUAGUUGAGUCACUAAUACUAGUACACUCUUAUUUCUGAGCCAUCUUUAUUCAUAUCUACAUUGUGUGGUUAGGCAGCUGUUAUGUGGUAUCACAUGAUAAAAGAUUUCUUCCCAUACCAUU